AUACUAAACCAAAACUUUCUCUGC
Molecule: non-coding RNA, 24 nt
Filed under: Cricetulus griseus (Chinese hamster)
Lineage: Eukaryota; Metazoa; Chordata; Mammalia; Rodentia; Cricetidae
Source: RNAcentral